AGAGUUCGAUCAUGGCUCAGGACGAACGCUGGCGGCGUGCCUAAUACAUGCAAGUCGAACGCUUCUUUUUCCACCGGAGCUUGCUCCACCGGAAAAAGAAGAGUGGCGAACGGGUGAGUAACACGUGGGUAACCUACCCUCAAGCGGGGGAUAACAUUUGGAAACAGGUGCUAAUACCGCAUAUUAUUAAUGAACUCAUGUUUAUUAAUUGAAAGGCGCUUUUGCGUCACUUGAGGAUGGACCCGCGGUGCAUUAGCUAGUUGGUGAGGUAACGGCUCACCAAGGCCACGAUGCAUAGCCGACCUGAGAGGGUGAUCGGCCACACUGGGACUGAGACACGGCCCAG
RNAcentral lists this ribosomal RNA (346 nucleotides) under uncultured bacterium. RNAcentral describes it as "bacterial SSU rRNA". It matches the Rfam family "Bacterial small subunit ribosomal RNA", at positions 8 to 334 of the family's 1533-position model. The record is from RNAcentral.